This 215-nucleotide ribosomal RNA is filed under the name uncultured bacterium. RNAcentral's name for it is "partial 16S ribosomal RNA". It matches the Rfam family "Bacterial small subunit ribosomal RNA", at positions 524 to 736 of the family's 1533-position model. The record is from RNAcentral.
UACGUAGGGUGCGAGCGUUGUCCGGAAUUAUUGGGCGUAAAGAGCUCGUAGGCGGUUUGUCGCGUCUGCCGUGAAAGUCCGGGGCUCAACUCCGGAUCUGCGGGUGGGUACGGGCAGACUAGAGUGAUGUAGGGGGAGACUGGAAUUCCUGGUGUAGCGGUGAAAUGCGCAGAUAUCAGGAGGAACACCGAUGGCGAAGGCAGGUCUCUGGGCCA